This 305-nucleotide signal recognition particle RNA is filed under the name uncultured Methanobrevibacter sp. RNAcentral describes it as "Archaeal signal recognition particle RNA". It matches the Rfam family "Archaeal signal recognition particle RNA". Lineage: Archaea; Methanobacteriati; Methanobacteriota; Methanobacteria; Methanobacteriales; Methanobacteriaceae. The record is from RNAcentral.
UGGCUAGACUGGAGGGUUAGGGGUCCUCUGUAAGCACAUACCCCCUUUGGUGCAGUCGAAGUUCAGAAGGCGGCUUUUUGAAGAAACACAGGCCUGAAAAAAUGGUAUAGAAACCUCGCCCUACAGGAUUAAUGGUGGUAAAAUUUUUACUGUAGGGUAAAUAUAAAUUACCUUAGUUUUAGGAAUGUGUCAGGCCCGGGAGGGAGCAGCUCUACUAAUUACAAUUAAUGCUUGUAGAAUCACGGGGUGGAGCUGUUUUUUCAGAUCACCUAUGUUUUGGAGAUUUGUCCACUUCUGAACGUGCC